Molecule: long non-coding RNA, 493 nt
Organism: Xenopus laevis (African clawed frog)
Lineage: Eukaryota; Metazoa; Chordata; Amphibia; Anura; Pipidae
Exons: 4
Source: RefSeq, a predicted model, not a curated record
AACAAUCUGUAAAAGUCUCAGAGUAUAAAUAUGUUCUGUGUUCAGGAGCUGAUGAUUACUAUCCCUUUUGCGGUGCCAUAAAGGGAGAAACAAUUGAGUUUAGUUCAGACACUCUGUUGCCCAGACUGCAUCUGGUUCAGGAUAAAUAUAUAUUCUCCUUCAAAGUUCUUGCUGGUGAACAAGAAAAGAUGGCGUUUUGUGGUAACGUCUCUCUUAUUCAGAAGGAAUAAGAACAGGCUAUGGAAGUUAUUUCUGGAAAAAUGAAAAAAAAAUUUUUUUCGUAAGCCCCUCCUCAAGAACAUUUUUGAGCCUCACAACUUGCACAUUAUGUAAACCAACAGGAAAGCAAUGCGAGAUUAUUAUGUCCUUGAGUUUCAAAUCCAUAUGCCAACAAGCCACACUAGCACACACUAGCAAACACUACAACACACACUACAACACACUACAACACACACUACAACACACACUACAACACACACUACAACACACACUA